GACAGAGGUCCCGAGCGUUAGGCGGAAUCACUGGGCUUAAAGCGUGUGUAGGCGGGUCGUUAAGUGCCUUGUGAAAUCCCCAGGCUUAACCUGGGAACUGCGUCGGAUACUGGAUGGCUUGAAUUCGGGAGAGGGAUGCAGAAUUCCAGGUGUAGCGGUGAAAUGCGUAGAUAUCUGGAGGAAUACCGGUGGCGAAGGCGGCAUCCUGGACCGACAUUGACGCUGAACGGCGAAAGCUAGGGGAGCAAACGGG
RNAcentral lists this ribosomal RNA (253 nucleotides) under uncultured bacterium. RNAcentral describes it as "partial 16S ribosomal RNA". It matches the Rfam family "Bacterial small subunit ribosomal RNA", at positions 524 to 776 of the family's 1533-position model. The record is from RNAcentral.